This 3371-nucleotide long non-coding RNA is filed under the name Olea europaea subsp. europaea. Lineage: Eukaryota; Viridiplantae; Streptophyta; Magnoliopsida; Lamiales; Oleaceae. The record is from RNAcentral.
GUGACUGAAGAGAAUGAAAAUGAUUGUAUUAAUUGUCUCUUAUCGAACUUUUGUACACAAGGCCAAUAUAUGUAGGCCCUUUACAAAAAUAUUCUCAUAGCUGUAAAGAAUAAAAUAUGAAUGCUAUAUUACAUGUUCAGCAACGGAUAGACAAAACAGAAUGCUAGUAGCAUAAUAAACUUGUAUCUAGUGCAAAUUUCUUAUUUUCUUUUAGAGAGUUUCUUCUUUCCUCCUUGUUGAGGUGUUGUCAAUUGUUGAUACGUCUCUUGCUGAUUGUAUUGUUGUUUAUUUUAAUUUCCAAAUUAGCAGCUCUAUUAACUUCUAAUAGCCCCUCGUAAGAUGGUGAGUAUACAUCCAUUACUCCCAUCUUGAGCAUAUAUGAGUAAAAAUUUUGAGAACUUAAUAUAUCUGCUAUUUGUGAUAUGCUAGAUACAUGCUUAGUGACAAUGCUUCCACCUUAAAUUUUAUCUCGAAUUAAAUGACUAUCGAGUUCUACAUGCUUAGUCCUUUCAUGAAAUAUCGGGUUUGUAGUAGUGUGAACGGCAGACUUAUUAUGACAAUACAGGAAAACAGCUUGAGGAUGAGCUACCUGCAAGUCUUCAAAUAAAUAUCUGAGCCAUGUCAAUUCACAACAUAAAUUGGCCACGGCUCUGUAUUCUACCUUUGAAGAGGAUCUUGAAACAAUAUGUCGCUUUUUAGACUUCCAUGACACCAAUGACUUUCCAAUUAAAACACAAUAUCCAGUUACUGAUCGCCUGGUAUUAGAACAAGCACCCCAGUCUGAAUCACCGUAUCCAUGUAACCGUAUCUUCGAAUUUAUUGGAUAAAAUAUCCCUUGGCUUGGAGCUCUUUUGAUAUACCUUAGAACUUUUUGUGCUGCGUCCAGAUAUGGAAUCUGAGAACUUUCCGUAAAUUGGCUCAAUAACAAGACCGGAUAUGAAAUAUCAGGCCUAGUUAUAGUUAAGUACAAUAAUCGACCAACCAAUAUCCUAUAAAGUGCAAGUUUAGGAAGAAGCUCUAUUUUAUCUUUGGUUAAUUACACAUUUUGAUCCAAAGGUAUUCUUGCAGGUGGUGAACCAGUUGUCCAAGAGGCACUAAAAAUUUCAAGAGCAUACUUUCUCUGGCAAACAUAAAUACCCUGUGCAAACCUGGCCACUUCUAUGCUGAUGAAGUAUUUUAAUUUACCAAGGUCUUCGAUUCUAAACUUGUCAUAAAGUAAGGCUUUGAGAUGAUUGAUUGUAUCAAUGCAAUCACCUGCCACAAUUAUGUCAUCAACAUAUACUAGGACAAUAGUAAAAUAAAUGUCAAUACUCUUAGUGAACAAGCUAUAAUCUACCUUUGAUUGAAUAUACCCUUGCUCAAUAAUAAAGUUGGAAAGUUUAGAAUACCAGUGACGUGAUGCUUGCUUCAACCCAUACGAGCUUUUUUUUUUUUUUUUUUGAGUUUGCAUACUUUUUUGGUAUCACCAUUUAAGUAGCCGAGAGGAAGUUCCAUGUACACUUCUUCAUCUAACUCACCAUGCAAAAAAACGUUAUUAACAUCAAACUGAAAAAGGUUCUAUCCCUUUAUUGUCGCUACAGCUAACAAGGCUCUGACUGUGACAAGUAUGGCAAUUAAUCUUGCUUUGAAUCGUUCUAUGCUACCAUCAGCAUUGAAUUUAAUUUUGUGUACCCAUCUACAAUCUACGGUUAUCUUAUCAGAAGGUAACUUAACUAAAACCUAAGUGUCAUUAAGUUCAAGAGCGUUAAUCUCAGCAUUCAUGGCUGCACACCAUUUGGGAAAAUUUUUGGCUUCUUAGUAGUUUCUAGGUUCAAAUUGGGAAGUGAUAGAACUUACAAAAGCUUUAUGUGGAGUUGAUAACUUUUCAUAAGAAACAUUAGCAUUGAGAAGGUAGUGAUUACCUGAGGGGUGUUGUCCCUUUAGCCUGUCGAACUCUUGAGAUGGGUGAAGAGAGGUAGCCUGUUGACAUAUGAAAUCUUGGAGAUGAGCUGGGGUUAUUCGAAUUCUCAUCUACCUUCGAGGCAAGUGAGUAAUAGAAGUGGUAUUUGAUGGUGAAUCAAAGGUAUUAAGGUUUUGAGGAUCAUCGAUAGAAUUAGUUUGAGGUUCAUCAUGGUUAGAGGUUUGUGGAAUGUUUUCCACGGAUUGUUUAACUUCAGAAUUUGUUUCUGGCGAGUCAACAUCUUGAAAAGUAUUUGGAAUUUGUGUGGCAAUAACAUUUUUAUUGUGGACAAUAGGAUCUUGAGUAAAACUGACAUUGUUUUUAUCUUAUUGGAAUUGAGUGUUAUUUAUGGAAUCAUCACUUUUGAAAGGAAAAAUGUUCCCAUAGAAAACUACGUUCUUAGAGACAAAGAUUUUCUUGGUUUCAAGUUCUAACAGAGUAUAUCCCUUAAUCCCAAAAGGAUAGCCUAUAAACUCACAUCUUUUCGCCCUGGGUUCAAAUUUAUGUCUUAUUGACAAUAGUAGUGGUAAAAGCUAGGCAAUCAAAAACUUUAAGAUGGGAGUAAUUCGGCCUUUUAUUGAGUAGGAAUUGAUAAGGGCUUUUGUCAUUCAACCUGGAAGAGGGUGUCCUAUUUAUGAGAUAUACAACAAUUAAAUUGCAAUGGUUUCUGAAAAGUCGAGAGAUACUAAUAUUAACCAAGAUUCUAAAACCACAAUUUUAAACUGAAAAUAAAGUGCAGAAAAUAAAAUGAAUACGGAGAAUUUUUCGGCCCAAGCCCCAAAGGUUCGACGACCUCUUCUAACGCCUAAUCCCCCGUUGAGCAUCCAUUAAAAUGGAUAAAGCUUGAUUGCACCAUAAAACCCCAAAAAUAGGCAGCCAGUAUACAAUAAUGUUCCAAAAUAUUACAAAGAAAUAAGUCACAGAAACUUAUCUUAUGAAGAAUAACAAAACUGGUCUCUAUUCCACAAAGGAAUCACACUAGAUCACAAAGAUCUCACAAAAAACAUGAACUGCCCUCUUUUGAGUUAUUCAACAUCAAAAACUUAUUACCCAGCAACUAACAUUCCACCAAGGAACACAAUAAAACCAAACACUACCACACAUAGGAAGAGGCUGAGACCACUAAGAUCUCACAUGAAAUCGGGUAAAACUCAAAUCCCAUAGAUUUGACUUAACCAAAACUGAAAUUGAACAAUAACCAUAUGGAUCUACAAUAUUUCUUGAUGAUAAUUGGUUUUAUUUUCAGAAAAUAUUCCAAGAAUCAAGCCCUAAUCUCAUUAAGUAGAAAAAGGGUUUUUUGUAAAGAUAAGAGAGAGAGAGAUGAAGGGCCGAAUUUUCAGAGAGAAGAGAGAGAGAGAGAGAGAGAGAGAGACUUUUUCCUUUUGGAAAGUGAGACGUGAGAGAGAGAAAGUUGCAGGCUGGAAGAAAAAAG